AGAGUUUGAUCAUGGCUCAGAAUCAACGCUGGCGGCGUGCCUAACACAUGCAAGUCGAACGAGAAAGUGGAGCAAUCCAUGAGUAAAGUGGCGACCGGGUGAGUAACACGUGACUAACCUACCUUCGAGUGGGGGAUAACCUCGGGAAACCGAGGCUAAUACCGCAUAACAUCGCAAGAUCAAAGCAGCAAUGCGCUGGAAGAGGGGGUCGCGGCUGAUUAGCUAGUUGGCGGGGUAACGGCCCACCAAGGCGAAGAUCGGUAGCCGGCCUGAGAGGGCGCACGGCCACACUGGAACUGAAACACGGUCCAGACUCCUACGGGAGGCAGCAGUGGGGAAUUUUGCGCAAUGGGGGAAACCCUGACGCAGCAACGCCGCGUGGAGGAUGAAGCCCCUUGGGGCGUAAACUCCUUUCGACCAAGACGAUAAUGACGGUACUGGUGGAAGAAGCACCGGCUAACUCUGUGCCAGCAGCCGCGGUAAUACAGAGGGUGCGAGCGUUGUUCGGAAUUAUUGGGCGUAAAGGGUGCGUAGGCGGUGUCACAAGUCACCUGUGAAAUCCCCGGGCUUAACUCGGGGCCUGCAGGCGAAACUGUGGUGCUGGAGUAUGGGAGAGGUGCGUGGAAUUCCCGGUGUAGCGGUGAAAUGCGUAGAUAUCGGGAGGAACACCUGUGGCGAAAGCGGCGCACUGGACCAUAACUGACGCUGAUGCACGAAAGCUAGGGGAGCAAACAGGAUUAGAUACCCUGGUAGUCCUAGCCCUAAACGAUGAUUGCUUGGUGUAGCAGGUACCCAAUCCUGCUGUGCCGCAGCUAACGCGAUAAGCAAUCCGCCUGGGGAGUACGGUCGCAAGGCUGAAACUCAAAGGAUUUGACGGGGGCCCGCACAAGCGGUGGAGCAUGUGGUUCAAUUCGACGCAACGCGAAGAACUUACCUGGGCUCGAAAUGCAGUGGACCGGGGUGGAAAAUCCCUUCCCCUU
This 980-nucleotide ribosomal RNA is filed under the name uncultured bacterium. Its description in RNAcentral is "bacterial SSU rRNA". It matches the Rfam family "Bacterial small subunit ribosomal RNA", at positions 8 to 1020 of the family's 1533-position model. The record is from RNAcentral.